Molecule: ribosomal RNA, 489 nt
Filed under: Scolecobasidium sp. NH230
Lineage: Eukaryota; Fungi; Ascomycota; Dothideomycetes; Venturiales; Sympoventuriaceae
Description: eukaryotic LSU rRNA
Rfam family: Eukaryotic large subunit ribosomal RNA
Source: RNAcentral
CGGCGAGUGAAGCGGCAACAGCUCAAAUUUGAAAUCUGGCGUCUUCGGCGUCCGAGUUGUAAUUUGUAGAGGGAGUCUCGGGUGGAGGUCCGGUCCAAGUACCUUGGAACAGGAUGCCAGAGAGGGUGAGAGUCCCGUAUCCGGCUGGACACGUCCCCCGUGUGAGGCCCCUUCGACGAGUCGAGUUGUUUGGGAAUGCAGCUCUAAAUGGGUGGUAAAUUCCAUCUAAAGCUAAAUACCGGCCAGAGACCGAUAGCGCACAAGUAGAGUGAUCGAAAGAUGAAAAGCACUUUGAAAAGAGAGUCAAACAGUACGUGAAAUUGUUGAAAGGGAAGCGUAUACGGCCAGACUUGGCCGCGGAGGUUCAAGCCGUCUUCUGGCGGGUGCACUCCUCCGCGGACAGGCCAGCAUCGGUUUGGGCGGCCGGACAAAGGCGUCGGGAAAGUGGCACCUCUCGGGGUGUGUUAUAGCCCGGCGCGACAUGCGGCC